Molecule: long non-coding RNA, 6996 nt
Organism: Callithrix jacchus (white-tufted-ear marmoset)
Lineage: Eukaryota; Metazoa; Chordata; Mammalia; Primates; Cebidae
Source: RefSeq, a predicted model, not a curated record
UCAUAGCUCAACACUGAAACAAAUGUCAACAGAAGAAUGGUGAAGUUCAUAAUUCAGAAAAGAGAGCUUUAUUUCCUUAAAAAGUUUGCAUCCUGUGGGGUGGCCAUUGUGAUGAGCCGGGAGCCGUAGCAACCAGCCAAGGGCCAGAAACAGCCACCUCAAGGGUAGAAAGAAUAAGAAGAAUUUAUGCUGAGCAGGAUGGUCAAAUAUACAUAUUCAAUGAGGCACAGGAGGAGUGAUGAAUAUUUAUGACAGGAGGAACUUGCGCUCAGGAGCAACUGAGCUUCCUGUCUCUCCAUGGGACCCAUGUUCCCAAAACGGCAGUGUUAGCAUUGAUCUGAAAAUGGAGAGAGAGAGAGAGAGAGAGAGAGAGACAGAGUGUGUUUGUGUGUGUGUGUGUGUGUGUGUGUGUGUGUGUGUGUGUGUGUGUGUGUGUUUGAGACGGAGUCUUGCUCUGUCACCCAGGCUGGAGUGCAGCGGCACUAUCUCUGUUCACUGCAACCUCUGCCUUCCAGGUUCAAGUUAUUCUCCUGCCUCAGUCUCCUGAGUAGCUGGAACUACAGGCAUGCACCACCACUCCCAGCCAAUUUUUGUAUUUUUAUUAGAGAUGGAGUUUUUGGCAUGUUGGCCAGGCUGGUCUUGAACUCCUGACCACAAGCGAUCCACCUGCCUGUGCCUCCCAAAGUGCUGGGAUUAUAGGCGCGAGUGACAGCACCUGUGCCAAGAACGGAGUUUUCAGUCCUCUGAAGUCAAAAGAUGGAGGAGAAGAGAAGGAAAGCCUCACUAUGCAUUCUCCAUAGACUGGACAGACCCAAUCUGUGCUCUAGUGAGGCAUGUCCCACCUCCCCAUCCAGUCUUGGCCGAGAACUCAGCUUCCAAGGCUUCACUGGAGUCCCCUUGGCUGAAAGAUAGUCCAUCCAGUCAAUUAGGAGGCUUAAGAUUUUAUUUUUAUUUCUCAUUUGACAAUAUAUCCCUUGAAAAGAAGGGCUGAGAAUUAUCUAUCGUCAUUGUCCUUUUUGGCAAAAAGGAGGGUAGGAAAAAAUCUGCAUCUCGUUUUUUAACCUGUAAGUGGGAAUAAGAACUCCAAGGGACAAAGUGAAUGGUGGAAAUUUUCACCAGUUUUCAUGUGUUUAAAAGGACACUCAGCAGCGCGUUUGUUGAUCUGUCGAUCCGUCUCUUGCUUCAACGAUGCUUGGAUGAAACAGACCAGGAACUCCCUCUCUUCCAGCCUCUGACUGCCCUUCCAUCUCCUCUCCACCUGCAACCUCCAGAACCACCUUCUCCACCACCUCUUGCUUCUAGGGCUGUUGCAGAUCUUUUUCUCAGUUCAGCUAAAGAUGGGGAGGUGGGGCAUCUUUGUCCCAUGGCCAUGAAAGUUUAGGCUUACAGACGGUUUGAAGGUCAGCCGCAAAGCAUUCUCCAUAUCUCACAGUUCCUUGAAAAUUUCAUACCAGGACUUGGCCAAGGUUAAGCACAGCUCCUUCCUUCCACCAUGUGAAGAAGAACGUGUUUGCGUCCCCUUCCACCAUGACUGUUUCCUGAGGCCUCCCCAGCCCUGCAGAACUACCUCGCAGGCCCUGUAAAAAUCCGAGACCCUAGCAAAGCAGAGACACAGCAACUGGACGUCUUGAGGAAAAGAUUGGCAGAAAUCACAAGCGGCUGGCUGUCAAGAGCACACUGGCAGAAGAGCCCGCUGACAGGCACCGGCAUACCAGCAGGCCAUUGGCCAGCAGAACCAAGUGGAGUUUGCCCAGAGUAAGAGCCAUCAUUGACAGGGCUGUUCUUCUUUCUGUUUUACAGAUGAGAAAAUUGAAACCCAGAGAGGUUAGUUAAUUUAUCCAAAGACAUAGAUCUAGUAAGUGGUAGGUCCUGCAUUCAAAUCCUUUCUCAUUCCGGAAUGUACAAUUCUAGUCACAUGUCUAUACUGCCUUCCCUGUACAUCUGAAAUCUUAUGAUGCAGUCACUUGUUCUUUCUCCACCAAUAGUCAAUCAUGUGGUAAUAAUCCAGGAGAAGCUGGAAUUUGAAAUGUUUCCCUGACUUUAGCCAUAUUUUAAGGUUCCUGAAGCCAGCAUGGUGGUGUUUUCCAAUGGUCCAAGCUCCGGGACAUUCCUGCCUGCUGAGAUAUUACACAAAAAGAGUUGUGCUAGCUGAGGUCUGUUAUUGCUUUCCUUUGAUGUCCACCUGCUGAGUCACAGCCACCCUUGCCUUUCCACAGAGCAGCUGCCCAUCUACCAUAAUGAUGUCCCAGCAUCUGGAGGGGGUGGGGAACAUUGAAGUCUACAGUUUCUUUCUGCUCCCUCCAUACCAAGCCACUUUCUCCAUACCCAGCCCAAUGCCUGCCUUGUCUUGCAAUCCUACCCAGGAUGCCCAGCAUCCUGGAAGCCCUAGCAGACCACACCUUGGCAAUAGAGAGCAGGCAGGCAGGCAGAUGCAUGCAGCUGGUGGGUGGGGAAGGCACCUGGCAACCCCUCCCAGGUGGAAAAGAAAGAGCAGUGCAAACUAUGGCAGAAUAUGUGUCUUCAGGCUCCCUCCCCUUAUCGCCUGUGACAUGUCUCUGCUACCAAGGGUGGCCAUGGGCCAGCACCUCCUCAGACAGGCCCUUAGGAAGUAAAACCCUCUGGGAAGAAGGGGGUGAGUUACAUAAGGGAGAAAAAGGCUAACCACUGAAGACAGUUAGGGACCCUUAAGGGCCUGGAUGUGAUGAGAUGGAACAGGGACCCCUCUUAGCAGUUUACUGGGCACUCCAAGCAUGGAAAUAAAGAAAAGAUUUUGAGUCCCUUCAAAAUGCCUGGGAUAUUCCAAGCACCUAGCUAGGCCUUGCAACCAGCAAUUAAAAAGGUAAACAGGCUGAGCAUGGGGGCUCACUCUUAUAAUCCCAGAACUUUGGGAGGCCGAGGUGGGCAGAUCACUUGAGGUUAGGAGUCCGAGACCAGCCUGGCCAACAUGGUAAAACCCUUCUCUACUAAAAAUACAAAAAUUAGCCAGGCAUGGUGGCAUGCACCUGUAGCCCAGCUACUCAGGAGGCUGAGGUAGGAGAAUUGCUUGUACCUGGGUGGUGGAGAUGGCAGUGAGCUGAGAUCAAGCCACUGCACUCCAGCCUGGGAGACAGAGUGAGACUCCAUUUCAAAAAAAAAAAAAGGAAACAAUUCAAGCAAGACGAUAACAAUCACUUAACAAUAGUCACCCAAAUAGGUUAGAGUCACAAGAUGUUAGGUCCCAAGAUGAAAGAUACCAAUUUGACAUAUGUCCUUGAGUUGUUUUUCAGAAGCUUGGACCCCCAGCAGUUGGAAAAUGCUGACCACUGUCAUGUAGACCUCAGGUAAGAGGGAACUGAGGACUGAACUCUGAUUGCCAGUUUUUGUUCUAAAUUUCUUCCUGAUGGGCCUGGAGAUGUUUCCAGAAAGGGGUUCUUCCAGACCCCAAGAGAAUGUUCUUGGAUCUUGCAUAAGAAAGGAUUUAGAGUGAGUUCACAGAGUAAAGUGAAAGCAAGUUCAUUAAGAAAGUAAAGAGGACGGGCACAGUGGCUCAUACUUGUAAUCCUAGCAGUCUGGGAGGCUGAGGCGCGUGGAUCACCUGAGGUCAGAACUUUGAGACCAGCCUGACCAAAGUGUUGAAACCCCAUCUCCACUAAGAAUACAAAAAUUAGCUGGAUGUGGUGGUGGGCGCCUGUAAUCCCAACUACUGGGGAGGCUGAGGCAGGAGACUCGCUUGAACCUGGGAGGCAGAGGUUGCAGUGAGCUAAGAUUGCACCAUUGCACUCCAGCCUGGGUGACAAAAGCAAAACUCUGUCUCAGGAAAAAAGAAAAAGGUAAAGAAACAAAAGAAUGGCUACUCCAUAGGCAGAGCAGCCAUGAGGGCUCCUGGUUGGCUGCUUUUACAGUUAUUUCUUGAUCAUAUGCUAAACAAGAGGUGGAUUAUUUAUGAGUUUUCUGGGAAAGGGGUGGGGAAUUCACAGAACUAAGGAUUUCUCUCUUUUAGGCCAUAUAAGGUAACCUCUAGAGGUUGCCCUGGCAUUUGUAAACUCUCAUGGCACUGGUGGGAGUGUCUUUUAGCAUGCUAAUGCAGUUAAUUAUCACAUAAUGGGCAGUGAGGACAGCCAGAGGUCAUUUUCAUCACCAUCUUGGAUUUAGCGGGCUUUGGCUGGCUUUUUUUUCCUCUAUCCUGUUUCAUCAGCAGGGUCUCUGUGACUUGUAUCUUUUACUGACCUCCUGUUUUAUCCUGUGACUAAGAAUGUCUAACCUCCUGAACUGUGACCCAGUGGGUCUCAGCCUUAUUUUACCCAGUCCCUGUUCAAGACAGAGUUGCUCUGGUUCAAACGUCUCUGACAGAGAGUCACAGCCACAGGCCAAAACUUAUCAUUCCUUUCUGUUGACCCCAAGGUUUUAGACAAAGCAAUGCUUCCUUAACCAAUUGCAAAUCAAAAAAAUCUCUUUAUCUAUCUAUGACCUGUUAGCCCCUGCUUCAAGAUAGCCUGCUUUUUGGACCAAAUUAAUGUAAAACCUCCGUGUGUUGACAUAUGAUUUUGUCUGUAACUUCUGCUUUUCUAAACUGUACCUCUGCCUUUAAAAACUCCUGCUUGUAAGCCAUCAGGGACUUCAAGCCUUAAGUGAUUCUCCUUGCUUAAUGCAAGGAGACAUAAGGCAUCACUAAAUACAUGGUAAGAUGUACAUUGAUUCAGUCCAGAAAGGCAGGACAACUGGAAGUAGGGUCUUCAUGUUAUAGGCAUAUUCAAAUUUUCUAAUUGGCAAUUGGUCGAAAGAGUAAUUAUCAAUAGAAAGGCAUGUCCCCAUUACACUCAGGGGUUGUGAGGACCAAGGCUUUAGCCUGCAGAUGAAGCCUCCAGGUAGCAGGCUUUAGAGAGAACAAAUUGUAAAUGUUUCUUGUUAGAUUUAAAGCAUCUGGUCUACAGUAAUUCUAAAAGGGAGGAGGAUAUAAUGAGGCAUGCCUGGCUCCCCAUUCCGAUCAUGGCCUAAACUCAUUUUUCAGGUCAACUUUGGAAUGACCUUGGCCUGGAGAGGGAGUCUAUUCAGAUGAUUGGGGGAACCUUAAAAUUUAUUUUUGGUUUACAGGGGCUUUGAAUUCAGGCUUAAAUACCAUCAUCCCACUGGGGGGAAAAAAAAGGUGUUGGGGAAGACCGAUCAUGAGGAGAUGCCCAGAAAAGCACAGUCAAGGAUGAGGUUUGUUAUGGGGAUUUAAGUCCAUGCUGUCUCCAUUGUUAUGAGUUUCUAGUGAUUUACUCAUCCCUGUCUUCCUGUUACAGACACUCUUAUAAGUGGUGAUUUCCUUUAUAAAUGUAAAUUUCCCUUAUUGAAAAAUAACUUUUACUCUGUUUUCAGAGCUUCUCCUAUGUCUGCAGUUACUCAAAAUAACCAGUUCAAAAUAAUCCUUAUGCCAAAGAGGCAUAUUUUGGAGUAGCAUAUUCUGGUCUCCUACACUAAGCAAGUCACAGGCCAGCCCAGAUUCAGGAAGUGGGAAGUAGACUCUACCUCUUGAUAGGAGGAUUGUGUUUGUAUUGGGAUCAUAGCUCGCGAAGGAAGUAAACUCCAUGAUGUGGAAGCUUUUUAACAUCUAUUAAUAAUGAUUGAAAACUCCACUUCUUAUGUUUUCUGCUGAGAUCACAGGUAUGAGCCACCACACCUGGUCAUGUAAAUGAAUUAUUUUAAACUUCAUCUGUCUACGUCUCUUAAUUGUUCCUGAACUCUGGCAGAGAAAGGAGAGAUCUAACUUAUUGGGAACUUUCAAAUCACAACAGUAAAUACUAACAGCAUCAUUUCAGUGAAAAGUUAAGUACUUUGUACAAGGCUGUGGUAGGGAGGGAGUACUCAGCUCGUAGGUUCUUGGCCUCUCUAACCCCAAAGAAUAGGGAAGGGGCCCUGGAGGCAUGGUGAGUUUACCAUUCUCAUAAAUAUCAUGGACCCAAAGAUUUUUUUAUCAGAGAGAAAGAAGACAUCUCCCACACUGUGGUGGGAGGGAAUCCAGAGAAGGAAUCCGUUCAGGUAGGAGCAGCUGAAGUUUUAACCCUUGAGUUAUUCCUUCCCCAUUCAUGUUCUCAUCCAAUAAGAUAAGUUCUUUCAAACUUCCUCUGAAUUGAUUGAUCUUCUUCUCUGAUACCAGAUUGGCUACUUGUUUUACAACCCUGAGUCACAGAGCAUCCUCUUCCCAGAGCUUUCAGUGGGAAUUUGGAACAAAAGAACCCUACCAAAGAAUUUUACCUGACCAGCGUGGAAGUGGUGCUCAAACAGCCCCAGCCACCUGAGGCAGGGAACCAGGAAAUCCUGCAUUCGAAACCCCUCCCCCAGCCGACCCCAGAAGAGAAGUUUCUUUAACACCGUCCCUCAGUUGCAUGGCUAAUGCUCAGUUAGGCUUCAUUCCAGAACUAGCCUCCUUGACUAGAAGCAGGACUGCCUUCACCCUGUCUUUGUGACUGCAAGAAGCCAGUCAACAUUUAUGCCACCAUUUUCUUUCCUUCAACCAAAUCCAGGUUAACAAACCUUUCUUAAUACCUCUGCCCCCACUUCUUCGUGUACCUACCAUUUAUUGAGUGCUUAUUGUGCAACUCAGAGGUCAGUGGAGGUUCCCGACAUCUGAAAAUUCAAUUGGAAUUUUUUUGAAACCAUUCCCGCAUUAUAAAUGUGGGGAAAGUCCUGAGUGACUCCACUCUCCCAGGAUUUGGGGUGGGAGCCCCAGUUUACCUUACUUCUCCUUACUCCUAGUGGGUUAUAACUCCAAGAUUCCAUUAAAUUAUAAAUUAUCUCACCAUCUUUUAUGUGCUAUUUCUCUACACUGUCCCUAGACAUGAAAUAGAGACACCUGCCCUUGAUUUCUUCCUUAAGAAUUCCCUAAACUGCUCGUUGGGAGUGAAGCAAAGGUGUGGUGUGUCAGGAGGGUUUUUAAUUACUCAGGCUGUUAACUCCCUGCUGAUAUCUGAUAUCUCACAUUCCCAGUUCCUCUCCUCCCAUAUUUUUGUACUUUAUUCUGCAAAGCAUCACACAUAU